CCCGGCACAAGCGGAGGAACAUGUGGUUUAAUUCGAUGAUACGCGAGGAACCUUACCUGGGCUUAAAUGGGGAGUGACAGCUGUCGAAAGAUGGUUUUCUUCGGACACUCUUCAAGGUGCUGCAUGGUUGUCGUCAGCUCGUGCCGUGAGGUGUCGGGUUAAGUCCCAUAACGAGCGCAACCCUUACCGUUAGUUACCAUCAGGUUAAGCUGGGGACUCUAGCGGGACUGCCACCGUAAGGUGAGAGGAAGGUGGGGAUGACGUCAAAUCAGCACGGCCCUUAUGUCCAGGGCUACACACGUGUUACAAUGGCCGGUACAAAGGGCAGCUACUUCGCGAGAAGAUGCUAAUCUCGAAAGCCGGUCUCAGUUCGGAUCGAAGUCUGCAACCCGACUCCGUGAAGUUGGAUUCGCUAGUAAUCGCGCAUCAGCCAUGGCGCGGUGAAUACGUUCCGGGCCUU
This 460-nucleotide ribosomal RNA is filed under the name uncultured Sphingobacteriales bacterium. RNAcentral's name for it is "bacterial SSU rRNA". It matches the Rfam family "Bacterial small subunit ribosomal RNA", at positions 920 to 1382 of the family's 1533-position model. The record is from RNAcentral. Lineage: Bacteria; Pseudomonadati; Bacteroidota; Sphingobacteriia; Sphingobacteriales.